UACGUAGGUGGCAAGCGUUGUCCGGAAUUAUUGGGCGUAAAGCGCGCGCAGGUGGUUUCUUAAGUCUGAUGUGAAAGCCCACGGCUCAACCGUGGAGGGUCAUUGGAAACUGGGUAACUUGAGUGCAGGAGAGAAGAGUGGAAUUCCACGUGUAGCGGUGAAAUGCGUAGAGAUGUGGAGGAACACCAGUGGCGAAGGCGACUCUUUGGCCUGUAACUGACACUGAGGCGCGAAAGCGUGGGGAGCAAACAGG
RNAcentral lists this ribosomal RNA (253 nucleotides) under uncultured bacterium. Its description in RNAcentral is "partial 16S ribosomal RNA". It matches the Rfam family "Bacterial small subunit ribosomal RNA", at positions 524 to 776 of the family's 1533-position model. The record is from RNAcentral.